Molecule: long non-coding RNA, 291 nt
Filed under: Rattus norvegicus (Norway rat)
Lineage: Eukaryota; Metazoa; Chordata; Mammalia; Rodentia; Muridae
Description: long non-coding RNA NONRATT031363
Source: RNAcentral
GGCUCAUUACGUGCACAUUUGGUCAGCUCCAAACCACCUAGUUUUGUUUUUUCAAGAAGAGAUAAGAACAAGGACUCAUGAUUUCGUGAGUCCUGAUCCUGUCUCUUGGUGUCAUCUGCACAUCUCUUUCAUCCUGCAUCGAAUUUGUGGACAUCUAGACAUCUUUAUUCAAUCCACGAGUGAACCAGUUCAGUGGAACAGAGCCUGGAGCAGACUCACAACAGGUACUGAUGGCUCCCUGGGGGCCUGGGCACUGUGUAGGAGUCCAUGCUGAUUCUGAAUUUACCUGCU